This 253-nucleotide ribosomal RNA is filed under the name uncultured bacterium. RNAcentral describes it as "partial 16S ribosomal RNA". It matches the Rfam family "Bacterial small subunit ribosomal RNA", at positions 524 to 776 of the family's 1533-position model. The record is from RNAcentral.
UACGAAGGGGGCUAGCGUUGUUCGGAAUUACUGGGCGUAAAGCGCACGUAGGCGGACUACUAAGUCAGGGGUGAAAUCCCGGGGCUCAACCCCGGAACUGCCUUUGAUACUGGUAGUCUCGAGUCCGGAAGAGGUGAGUGGAAUUCCGAGUGUAGAGGUGAAAUUCGUAGAUAUCGUAAGGAAGACCAGUGGCGAAGGCGAGUCUCUGGACAGCAACUGACGCUGAGGCACGAAGGCCAGGGGAGCAAACGGG